GAUGGUAUAGUUCAAUUGGUAGAACGAUUGUAUGUGGCACAAUAAGUUCCCUGUUCAAUCCAGGGUACCACCC
This is a non-coding RNA of Viridothelium virens, 73 nucleotides long. The record is from the annotation of a GenBank genome assembly. Lineage: Eukaryota; Fungi; Ascomycota; Dothideomycetes; Trypetheliales; Trypetheliaceae.